Aquila chrysaetos chrysaetos is the source of this 2615-nucleotide RNA transcript. RefSeq lists it as uncharacterized. Lineage: Eukaryota; Metazoa; Chordata; Aves; Accipitriformes; Accipitridae. The record is from RefSeq and is a predicted model, not a curated record. The transcript is spliced from 5 exons.
ACAGCUUUCAGCCAGGCAAACCAGACUCGGUUAAGAAAUAAUCAGCAGCUGGGCUAAUUGUCCUCAACAAUUUCCUAAUGCUGUUAGAAUUCUGGGAGUUUUGGGUUGGAAACAUCUAUGGGAACUCUAUAGCCGUGUGCCUAAAUGUCACGUAAUGUACACAGCAGGCUAAUUGAGCUCCGUAAGAUUUCCGGAGGUUGCAUAGCAUCCUCCCCGCGCUGCAGGUUUCAGACUCCUUUUCAGUCUUGCUUUGCUUUCAGCGCUGGUACAAAUCCCUGUGAUACACAAAGUGUGUGACAGCUUCAAGAGGCUGUGAGCGCAUGAUCUUCUUCCCCGCUCAUCGUUUCUGUUUAGCAGCUGGGAUUAAUAGCAGGCCAUUUACCGUCGCCCUUCCCAUCCCUGCUUUAGCGUGCAGCUGUGCUGUCGGCACGCAGGAGGCACAGGAGGCUGUGCUGAGCCAGCCAGCAGCAGAGCAUCGGGUCCUUGCUUCCUGGAAGGGGGAAAAUAGCCACGUUCCCUUUUCUGUUUCAAGAGACAAAUAUGGAUGUUAACACAGAGGACAAAGAGGGUUUGAGAAUCUGUUGCAGCAUAAUAUUUGAGGAAAAGCCAUAUUCCAGUGGUUAGGCUGAAUAAAUAAGUUUCCCUUCGACUGUUCUUUGUUAACAUUUUUCUGCUCCAUCUCGAAGUGAAUAACGUGGGAGAUGCCAGUGCUAAAGAUAGGCUAGCAUUUAUCUUCCAAACAGUUACGGUCGAGGCAGAAGGGUGAAAAGCCAGGGUCUUUUAGCUCUGUCCUGGAGAGGCCCUCCUGAAUGCCGCUAGAAAAAUAAACCUCCCUUCCAGUAUUCCUCUGCUGCUAAUUUUGAAGGUUUCUCUUGCAGUGGAUCUCUUUUAGCAUCGUGGAUACCCGUCCCGUAAGGAUUGCAGGAAGACCUAUUCAAUUCACUUUACUGAGGGUGACGACUAUAUUAAAGGGUUUUGAGUCUGUCACCCACUACCCAGGCUUGAGAUGUGGGUUGUACGUUUCCCUUCACCAAUUCACAGCUUAAAAAUCAUCCAGCAGACGCCACGUACGGUGAUGCUCAGCAUGGCAGUGAGUGGGCACGAGCAUUCCAUGUCUGCACAGGAAGGAGCCGGGAGCCAAACGCUCACGGUCUCGGGGCGAAGGGGAGACUGAGCACCCCAGGGGUGCCUUCAGCCCUAUUUCUCCAAAUCACAGGAAAUCACACAGCAGAAUUUGUCUUCAAUGGGACCUGCGUUUUGUUCUCGAAUCGCUUCAUGUGUAAAUCAUCCUGUCCUCUGCGGCGAGAGGAGCGCACGGUGAGGUGAGUAAAGGCUUGAACUUGCAAGCAAUUCUUUUAUUCUCUCCCUGGUUUGUGUCCAGUCCCCUUCAAGCUCGUCAGCAUUUUCCGCCUGUCCUCAUGUUGAAAUGCUGGGUUAAUGUAAAGCUACUCGUGCUGGUGUGGUGGAUUUGUACCUCCGUGCCUUACGUUGGCCUGACAAGCGUAGCGGGGGUCUGAAUGGUGCAGUAUCAUCGCUCUCCUGGCAUCAGGGAAAAAAAAACCAACCCCUCUCUGUACAUCUCCUGGACAAGCUUUUUCUGCUUUUUUUCCAAAAUAUUUUAAUUAAAUUUGACUCAGUAAUUCACGGAGGAUUUCUGAUUGCAAUUUAGUGUCUGGCCCAAGGGGCUGAGGACAAUCUCCUCUCCUCGCUGGAUGUGCACCAUUUCUGCUGUUGGAUGACUUCUCUCAUCUCUGGGUUUCUGGUGACUCACCGGGGACGCUUCAGAGUGGAGCUGUUAUCAGGAACAAAUAAGAGAAGGUGCUUGUAAUUCCUGCAGGUCUCUGUGCCGGGAUCCCGAGGAUGCGCUUGCUUUAGGAGCUGGUUAACAAUGACCUAUCUCCUGACCCUUACCAGCGCGGUGGGUCUGAUCCUGCAGGAGCGCGGUGGACGGACGGCGGGACGCUGCCCUGGGCCCGGCGAACAGAGCCAGGUGCAAAGGCUGAGGGCUGGAAGAAAACACGUGCCGCCGCACACCAGCGGACUGAGCUAAACAGUAAGGAGAAGCAGCAGCAAGUGUUCUCCCCCAGAAGAAAAUGCAAGUGGAAAACACACGGCCCCAGUAGAUGCAACAGCCAUGGCAGCAUCCCUUAAGAAAGGGUUUACGUGGAUUUCUAAGCAGGGAAACUGGAUGUUGCAACUGCUUUUCAUCUGGGCCAUGAUCCCCUGGACUUUGAAUACAUGCACGUCAAUAUAUCAUUUUACUGCUCACCUGCCUGUGAGAAAAAAAAAAAAAGAAAGGAGAUUUCAAUUCAGAAACCUGUUUAGAAAGAUCCUAGUAGAUCAGUCAGUGGAGCAGAGGAGCGUGAACUCCGGCGCAGAGAUCCACAAGCUGCAAAUCUGUAUCAAAAGGAGGACUGUGCACAGGAUCAUUUCAGCAAAUAUCUGGAGGAGGAAGACAUGUUUGGCUGUCGAGUGGGGAAGUCUUUAAACGUUGCUGUGGGAAGAGUAUAGGAUGACUCACUCUGCUGCAGGGAGCUGGGAUGCUUCUGCUCACCGCCUCCGGACUAAGUCAUUUAUCAUGAAGGUGGAAGAGUUUUGGUCUGCUGAACGUCAAC